This 150-nucleotide ribosomal RNA is filed under the name uncultured bacterium. RNAcentral describes it as "partial 16S ribosomal RNA". It matches the Rfam family "Bacterial small subunit ribosomal RNA", at positions 311 to 461 of the family's 1533-position model. The record is from RNAcentral.
AAUAAGUGACAAAACAGUACGUAACCUACGGGAGGCAGCAGUGGGGAAUUUUCAGAAAUGGGCGAAAGCCUGACGGAGCAAUGCCGCGUGGAUAUUAGAAGGCCCACGGGUCGUGAACUUCUUUUCCGCGGAGAAGAAGCGAAUUGGACC